GAUGAACGCUGGCGGCGUGCCUAAUACAUGCAAGUCGAGCGAACAGACGAGGCUCUUGCUCCUCUGACGUUACCGGCGGACGGGUGAUUCACACGUGGAUAACCUACCUAUAAGACUGGGAUCACUUCGGGAACCCUGAUCUAAUACCGGUUCAUAUAUUGAACCGCAUGGUUCAUUAGUCAUCGCCCGUUUUGCUGUCCCUUAUUGAUGUAUCCUCGCCGCAUUAGUCAGUUGGUAAGGUAACGGCUUACCAAGGCAACGAUGCGUAGCCGACCUGAGAGGGUGAUCGGCCACACUGGAACUGAGACACGGUCCAGACUCCUACGGGAGGCAGCAGUAGGGAAUCUUCCGCAAUGGGCGAAAGCUUGACGGAGCAACGCCGCGUGAGUGAUGAAGGUCUUCGGAUCGUAAAACUCUGUUAGUAGGGAAGAACAAAAGUGUAAGUAACUAUGCACGUCUUGACGGUACCUAAACAGAAAGCAACGGCUAACUACGUG
This 497-nucleotide ribosomal RNA is filed under the name uncultured bacterium. Its description in RNAcentral is "partial 16S ribosomal RNA". It matches the Rfam family "Bacterial small subunit ribosomal RNA", at positions 28 to 507 of the family's 1533-position model. The record is from RNAcentral.